Molecule: ribosomal RNA, 1578 nt
Filed under: Cryptosula pallasiana
Lineage: Eukaryota; Metazoa; Bryozoa; Gymnolaemata; Cheilostomatida; Cryptosulidae
Description: SSU rRNA
Rfam family: Eukaryotic small subunit ribosomal RNA
Source: RNAcentral
UGUCUAGUACAAGCCGCUGAUNCACGGACGAGACUGCGGACGGCUCANUAAAUCGGUUAUGACUCCACUGGGGACAGACUCACCCNGUGGAUAACGUGCGGUAACUCCGGUGCUAAUACAUGCAACAAGGCUCCGACCCCGCUUCGCGGCGGGGGAAGGGCGCACUUAUUAGGCGAAAACCAACGACCCGCUCGCGGGCCUUGGUGGACGACACCCGAGUAAUUGCCGCCGAUCGCACGGCCUCCGAGCCGGCGACACCUUCACUGAGUUUCUGAUCUAUCAUGCUGACGACGGUUGGUGCUAUGCCAACCGUGGCGUUAACGGAUAACAGAGAAUCUGGGUUCGAUUCUGGAGAGGCCGCAUGAGAAACGGCGACCACUUCCAAGGAAGGCAGCAGGCACGCAAAUUACCCACUUCGGACACCGAGAGGUAGUGACGAACAAUACCGAUGCGGCGCGCUAUUGUGUCGCCGUAAUCGGAAUGAGUACACUUCAAAUCCUUUAACGAGGAUCCACUGGAGGGCAAGCCUGGUGCCAGCAGCCGCGGUAAUUCCAGCUCCAGCAGCGUAUAUUUAUAUUGCUGCGUUUAAAAAGCUCGUAGUUGAAGCGUCAGACGCGGGAGGGCGGACGGCCGCACUGGUCGCUCUCGCCCGACCGAGCCAGGCGCAGAGGGCGCGCGUCGCUUGCACUUCGCCGUGUGAGCGCGCCGCCGCUGCACGUUCACCUUGAAGAAAUUGAACCGCUUAGAGGGGGCGAGCAGCUUGAACAGCUCAGCAUGGUAUGAUGGAACAUGGGCUCGUACUCAUUUUGUUGGUUAGAGAGUCGGCGAGCCAAUGAUUAACCAGGGACUNCCGGGGGCAUUCGUACUCGGAGCGGGAGAGGUAAAUUCAGAUCUCACAAAGCUGAAACUUAAAGGAAUUGACGGAAGGGCACCACCAGGAGUGGAGCCUGCGGCUUAAUUUGACUCAACACGGGAAACCUCACCCGGCCCGAACACUGUUAUGACAGACAGGUUGAGAGCUCUUUCUCGAUUCAGUGGUUGGUGGUGCAUGGCCGUUCUUAGUUCGUGGAGCGAUCUGUCUGGUUAAUUCCGAUAACGAACGAGACUCUUGCCUGCUAAAUAGACGGCGCCGAUCCAAUGCGGCGACCGUUCGCUUCUUAGAGGGACAAGCGGCUUUUAGCCGCGUGAAGCAGAGAGCAAUAACAGGUCAGUGAUGCCCUCAGAUGUUCGGGGCCGCACGCGCGCUACACUGUUUGCAUCAGCGUGUUUCUCCCGCGCCGGCCGGCGUGGGCAACCCGUUGAACCGCAAACGUGCUAGGGAUCGGAGAUUGCAAUUGUUCUCCGUGAACGAGGAAUUCCUUGUACUGGCGAGUCAUCAGCUCGCGGGGAAUCUGUCCCUGCCCUUUGUACACACCGCCCGUCGCUACUACCGAUUGAGUGGUUUAGUGAGGCUCACGGACUGCGCGCGGCACACGGCGCUUUCGGGCGCCGCGUCGCGAGGCGGAAAGUGAGACGAACUUGAUCACUUCUAGGAAGUAAAAGUCGUAACAAGGUUUUCGUAGGUGAACCUGGGGAAAA